CGCGGCUGCGCGGAGCCCAGGGGUCGGAAGCUCAGUGUACCUGUCCCCACCAAUCCCCUCUUGCAGGAGAGCAAUGCCCCGAAGGUCACAAAGUCGGUAAGCUGUAGCAGAGCUGAGCUCGGUUCGUCUAACCCUAUUCAAAGAUAUAGACACAGGGGUUGCUAACAGUGAUUCCAUGCACAUUUCCAGACUCCACAGUCCCGAGAGGCCCUUGCGUUGACGCUCUUCCCUGCACCGGCAGAGACCUCCAAAGCAAUGCCGGAGAAGUGUCCUCGCGGCGUCCUUGCCUUGCCCCCAGUCCGCCAGAGACAGCUUGCCACGCUUCGCCUGUAGUUCCAGUGUUUGCUGGUGGUGUUUCCGCAGAUGUGCUUUAUUAAGCAAGGGAACCCUCGCCCAUAGCAGGUGUACCGAGACUCUUCCAUCCUGAAUGGUAAUUGAGUCUCAUCAAACAUGUUCACUGUGAGUCCCUGUUAAUGUGAUAAAACCCAUGGACUUUACGAUGUUAUCCAAGCCUGUCUUCCCACAAUAAACCCAGUUUGCUUGUGACGCGUUGUCUUCCGUCCUCCUGCUGGCUUCAUGGCUGUUGAGCUUUCUCCUUCCUCUGUUUGAGCAAGAGAGAGACCGGCCGCACUCCCCUCUCCCCGCAGCGCUCUCCCUAACAUUAUGAUUGUCUCCUAGAACAAGGUGGGGAAUGGGCCCUUUUCUCUUUUCGGGGAGAGUCUGUGCAAGAUGAAGGUUGCUUGUCCACAAACAUUUGGUAAAAGUUGACUCAUAAAACAAUCUGAGCCUACAAGUUGAUUCUGUUAAAAGCUUUUUAAUUACAGAUUCUAUCCGAUUCCUUUACGACUCUUCAGAUCUUCCCUUUCCUCCCUCAUCACUGUCAGGAGUUGUGUUUUUUGGAAACAGGAAAGUGCUCGUUUCGUCUCAUUUUCCAGAUGCGUCGCCGUAACAUUGUCCCCAAUAUUCAGGUCCUGUUUCCCGUGUCUGUAGCAUCUGGAGUGAUGUUCCCCUUGUUUCUCUUCCUAUGUCCUUGUUUUUUCCUUUCAUCUUUGUUGUUUCCUUCCUCUUCCUUUCCUUGGGUUCAUUUGAUGCUCUUUCCCUGAGUUCUUGAAGUUUGAAGGCUCGUUUCAUUGAUUCUCAGCCGUUCUUCGUCUCUGAUACUUGAGUGAAGGCGGCGCGUUAAGUGUGGUUUUAGUAUAGCCCACAGGUUAUGAUACAUCGUGGGGUAUUUUUUUUUCAUCUU
This is a long non-coding RNA of Ailuropoda melanoleuca (giant panda), 1243 nucleotides long. RefSeq lists it as uncharacterized. Lineage: Eukaryota; Metazoa; Chordata; Mammalia; Carnivora; Ursidae. The transcript has 3 exons. The record is from RefSeq and is a predicted model, not a curated record.